Molecule: ribosomal RNA, 309 nt
Filed under: uncultured eukaryote
Lineage: Eukaryota
Description: partial 18S ribosomal RNA
Rfam family: Eukaryotic small subunit ribosomal RNA
Source: RNAcentral
CCCUUAGAUGUUCUGGGCGGCCCGCGCACUACAUUGGCACUGGCAACAAGAUCCUAGAUCUGAUAUUUCGGGGUAUUCUACCAACUGGUGUCGUGACUGGGAUUAACCCCUGCAAUUAUUGGUUAUGAACGAGGAAUUCCUUGUAAUCACGGUUUAUCAACCCGUGUUGAAUGCGUCCCUGCCCUUUGUACACACCGCCCGUCGCUCCUACCGAUGAAUCGUCCGGUGAAGUUCAUGGAGUCGCUGCUGCUCCAGCUGUUUUCGAAGUGAAAUGGACCUCAUGAUUUAGAGGAAGGAGAAGUCGUANCA